GAUGAACGCUGGCGGCGUGCCUAAUACAUGCAAGUCGAGCGAACAGACGAGGAGCUUGCUCCUCUGACGUUAGCGGCGGACGGGUGAGUAACACGUGGAUAACCUACCUAUAAGACUGGGAUAACUUCGGGAAACCGGAGCUAAUACCGGAUAAUAUAUUGAACCGCAUGGUUGAAUAGUGAAAGACGGUUUUGCUGGCACUUAUAGAUGGAUCCGCGCCGCAUUAGCUAGUUGGUAAGGUAACGGCUUACCAAGGCAACGAUGCGUAGCCGACCUGCGAGGGUGAUCGGCCACACUGGAACUGAGACACCGUCCAUACUCCUACGGUAGGCAGCAGUAGGGAAUCUUCCACAAUGGGCGGAAACCUGACGGAGCAACGCCGCGUGAGUGAUGAAGGUCUUCGGAUCGUAAAACUCUGUUAUUAGGGAAGAACAAAUGUGUAAGUAACUAUGCACGUCUUGACGGUACCUAAUCAGAAAGCCACGGCUAACUACGUG
This 497-nucleotide ribosomal RNA is filed under the name uncultured bacterium. RNAcentral describes it as "partial 16S ribosomal RNA". It matches the Rfam family "Bacterial small subunit ribosomal RNA", at positions 28 to 507 of the family's 1533-position model. The record is from RNAcentral.